Molecule: ribosomal RNA, 480 nt
Filed under: uncultured bacterium
Lineage: Bacteria
Description: partial 16S ribosomal RNA
Rfam family: Bacterial small subunit ribosomal RNA
Source: RNAcentral
GACGAACGCUGGCGGCGUGCUUAACACAUGCAAGUCGAACGAUGAAGAAAAGAAUUGAAGCUUCGGCAGAAAUUCAUUUCGGAUUAGUGGCAGACGGGUGAGUAACGCGUGAGCAACCUACCUCUUACAAAGGGAUAGCCUCGGGAAACCGGGAUUAAUACCAUAUAACAUUGCGACGAAGCAUUUCGAUGCAAUCAAAGCUACGGCGGUAAGAGAUGGGCUCGCGUCCCAUUAACCAGAUGGUGAGGUAACGGCUCACCAUAGUAACGAUGGGUAACCGGCCUGAGAGGGUGAACGGUCACACUGGAACUGAGACACGGUCCAGACUCCUACGGGGGGCAGCAGUGGGGAAUAUUGCACAAUGGAGGGAACUCUGAUGCAGCGACGCCGCGUGAGUGAUGAAGGAAUUCGUUUCGUAAAACUCUGUUCUAUGGGAAGAAAAGGACUGUACCAUAGGAGAAAGCUCCGGCUAAAUACGUG